GCCCAUAUGGCCGAGUGGUUAUGGCGACAGUUUUAAGUUCUUUGCGACGAUUCACUGUUGGAGCAAUCCGCGCAAGUUCGAUCCUUGCUGUGGGCA
This is a transfer RNA of Pseudomassariella vexata, 96 nucleotides long. It matches the Rfam family "tRNA". From Rfam's summary of the family: Transfer RNA (tRNA) molecules are approximately 80 nucleotides in length. Their secondary structure includes four short double-helical elements and three loops (D, anti-codon, and T loops). Lineage: Eukaryota; Fungi; Ascomycota; Sordariomycetes; Amphisphaeriales; Pseudomassariaceae. The record is from Rfam.